Molecule: long non-coding RNA, 6573 nt
Organism: Ceratina calcarata
Lineage: Eukaryota; Metazoa; Arthropoda; Insecta; Hymenoptera; Apidae
Exons: 4
Source: RefSeq, a predicted model, not a curated record
GCGUAUCGGUCACGUCGUUGCGACGAUCGUUCACUAAAAAUCCCAUGGAGCACGGGACUUGUCUUCAACACACACUCACGACGCCCGUGCUUGUCUUCAUGAUAAUAAGAAGCUUCUCUACACUUGGACAAAUUUUCCUGACACCCUGGAGGAGGUAACCGAAGGACACAGAAGACGGAACCACGCCGAGGAUUCAAGGUGUUUUCAACCGCAUUUCGGACGCAGAACUCACUACUGCUGCCGCUACUGCUGCUGCUGCUGCUGCUGCUGCUGCUACUGUUGCUGCUUCUUCUGCUGCUGCUGCUACAAAAACGGAAUUGUACUUGUUCUAUCGAUGACGGGAGGGUCAGCACAAUUACGUUUCUGCCGGCUUCCUUAUCUACCGGAUAUCGGCAUCGCUUACACUUGAACGGCUUCGAAACUUCAUCCAAUGCUGCGAAUUGCAUCCAGAAAACAGCUGGCCACGUGAACGAAGGUCGCCGGCCAUGGAAUAUAAUUAGUCCUCUACUUAUGGAACGUCAGGCCAGUCAGCUUUGGGUCCACUGAAACGGUUCGCAACAAAACGGUUUACUUGGGAAAGGCCUUUGUGCAAACACGUGCGGCCAUGGUCAGCGUUUAUUUCCUUCUUGGACGAGGCUCAGCUAUGCAUGGAAAACUGGGAAAUGCCCCGAAGGCCGGUUGGUCUAGGAAAAUCUUUCAAGGGUAAUUAUGUUUUACUACGAAACCUAAGUAUAUAUUUGGUUCAUGGAUUUUCCUGCUCCUUCAUUUAUGGUAACUGCAUACUGCUGACCUUUGUCAUUCCUCUCUGGAUUUUCCAAAUAGAAAACGAGGUCCGUAAAAAAAAAAUGCUAUAACUGACAACACACUGUAGUUCCUGAUGUAUUAAAUCAAGCCUUGUAAGAUUCUUUUCUAAACAAGAGUAGAAAAUUUUCUGAUUAACCGUCUCGCUUAAUUGGAUUUUUUUUCCUUUUUUACUCGGUCUAGGUUCAUUGGAGGACGUUCGGUAAUCGUAAAAGCAAUGUAACAAAACGGCUCGGAAGUUCAUUAGAGUAAAACCACCGAUGCAAGUAAUUGAAGUAUCUUCCCGGUUAAUUAUGAAGUGAUUAAUUGUAGCAGGAUUUUUCAGUAGCUCGUAGAUUAUCGAGAGGCACGUGAAUAUUCUGCCGAACGUUUAAUGCUCGCAGAAACGCAGAGCAGGAUUCUUUUAAAAUUUUUUCAGACAAUUCGUUUUGCGACGGAUAGGGGACGACGAAAAAGAAGUGGUCGGGGAGAAGAAGGGGCGGCAGCGAGAAGCAAUUCCUCCGGACAAUUCGAGACGGAGGCCUAGGUAUUCUUUUUAAGGCGGAACACUCCGCCGCUGCUCGUUGCACGCUGGUAAUGGGGAAUCAUCCCCCAGCAGUCUCCAGGAAUUAAUUCGAGGCUAAUGCCGCUCCCCGAUAUCGAAUCACUCGCGAACCGGUGUUAGUAUCUGCUUACCACCCUCUCGGUUAGCUGCUCGCCGUACUUGCAUUUCUGCUCUCCUACCUUUCCCCCGCGAAACGUUUUCUAAUUUACCCUCUAAUUUGCGCCGCGAUCCUCGAAUCCGUAUCACUGGGUCAUUAAAAAAAAAGAAGCAGAAUAAAUAGAAGAUCCUGUUCCUGUCUCCUUUCUGCCGCCGCGCUUGGCAACGGCACGCGUUUGGUCCUCGUCGCGUAGUUGGCUACGAUUUUCGCCAUCAAUUGUGUACUUAAACCAACGUAGUAACCCUUUAUUGCCAGAAACGCGGUCUCCAAGAUGAAAAGCGAACUCCUGGCGAGUAUCCACCAGAAUUAAGAGUCACUCGAGGCGCUUUUUAAUUAGCCCGAAGGGACAUCAUCAGGAAGAGGCAGCUUCGGUCUAAAUACGUAAUUAAAAUCGCGGACGUGGUAGUAACCACGGAAAACAUAAUCGAGUACGAGCGACAAGUCGCCGGAAAGCGCAAAUUUCCACGUCGUUCCUACAUUCUUUGUUCAUUCUGAAACUUGCAAUUUGGAAUAGCGGGCGUCAAAUCUAUUAAAUUGUAGCAUUUAAAAAUUGUUCUUCAAUGGAGUCCGUUUCUUAUCUUAUCAGUCGUUUCGCGGCUAAUCAUAUUUUCUUCCAUAAGCAAAAUUCUAAAGUCUCCACAGGAAAGUUCACAAGUUUUCUGAAGCAUCUUUGAAAAUGAACGCACGAGGCUCGCGUAAAGGAGACGGAAUGAGAGAGCAACAGAAUAAGAUAGACAGAAAGAAGGGAGAGAGGGAACAGUGGAGAAGAGAAUGAGCGAACAUGAGAGCCGAGAGAGAGUGAGAAACUAAAAGAUGGCGCCACGUGCGUAAACCCGACGGAGACCAGAAGCGAGUACCAGAAGAUGAGAGAAAGAGACGGCAUCAUCACUUCCUUCCCCCUCACCAGCACGAAAUACGGUCGGACUGCAACGUCCGAAUCCGAUCAUCGUCAGAUCGCUCAGUAGUGCGCGAGACGCAUUUCGUGACGCGUGUUCUUCAUUGCGUUGCGGCGCCCGAGGAAACGUGGAGCCAACACGCGAAGAGGAAUUACCUACUCGGUACAUCUCUCGGAGUGGAAACGAGACGCGCGCGGACCCAAGCCAACCAGCAGCCGGGCGACGUAACACGGGGAGAGAGAAACUGGGAGAGGGUGAACUACAGGGUAUUUUGGACGCAGAUCGAUCGGUCGCUCUCCGGUUCGCGCCAUGUGACCGGUCAAAGACCAGUCUGCAUACACGGUGUGUAGAACGUAGAGGCGGUCGUCAGGGAGCUUCUUCAUUGUCUCUCUUUGUGCGGUAGUCGCGUGGUGGUAGUGCGUUCGUUCCAUCUAUUGGAAAAUAAGAUUUGUCGGAGCGGUGGUGGUGUCGUCGGCAGUAGCGCGCGAACCAUCGAAUGGGAAGGUCCGUUUUUCGAGGAUAGUUGCCGGGCGGCGAGAGUAUUUUAUGCAUGCAUGUAUGCACCGUAUUGUGGAUGUGGGAAUUCUGGGAGAAUAUAAUCGCGAGGGAAAACAGAGGGCAUAUACGGUGAGGUUUGUGCCACGGGAGAGUGUCGUUGUCUUGGGUCAGAUGUAAAAAUAAAAAGGAAGCAGACGUGUGUCUCAAGGCUAUCGGGUCGCAUAUUGUCUCAACCAGGGGCGUAAAUCACGGGCUCAUCACCCAUCAUCCACAUUCUGGUACGAAUGCACGCGCGUAUUUUUUUUAUUAUAAUUCCAUUGUCGUUUAUCCCAUAAAACGUAUCAUACUAAUACUUAAACUCUUGAGACGUACAUGUCUCGUCCAUUGGACGUAGCCAAAAAAUCUUUACCCCGCGCGAAUAUGACGAAACUGUUCAUCGCUUGCCAAGCGGUACGGCUUUUCAUUCGUUUUCGAUUCCGUAUUUUAUGUGUACAAUCGCUCUCCAAGAACCGACAACAGAAGCAUAUCGGCUAAGAUCAAACGAGAAGGUCGGUCGCGCGUAAAAUUCUCUGAGGUUCGUUUUGGAAGGGUCCGACCAACUCGAAGGAACAUAAACAUCCGUGUGGUGUGCGGCAGCAUUCUCUUGCCCCGUACAUUGUUACAGUUUUGUCUGAGGAUCGGUUGCGUCAAAGUUAGAGAUCGCGUGCAGAGAACGUUUAUUUGAUUCUGACCAUACGAUGUGCGUAGGUUUUCGUGAAAUAUUUGUUUCAAGGAGAAUUCCCAUACUAAUGUUAGCUUUUCAUAACUCGCUCCGAAACACGUGUGCUCGGACCACGUGUUUUCUCUACGGUGCUUCUGAGCGAACCCUCGGCGUCGUGUAUAAUUAUUAUUAAUUUUUUUCAAAUAGGUUUUCCUUCAUCGAUGAAAUCCAUUGAAAUCAUCUGCGUUCAGAAUUCAAUGCCGAAACUUAAACAUUUUGCUUAAUCGAGAAAGAAGCAUUUAUGAUUAUUUAAUAAAAUAUAUAAUUGUUUCUUCAUUUCAUAAUUUAAUUUUGAAAAUUGAGACAUAAUAACGUAGUUUUUUUUUUAAUCUGCAUUCUAAACGGUUUCAUACUGUUAAAGUAAAUCUAGGUCUUAGGAGGCAAGGUAUCACGUAACUUUCGAUAGAUAACGUGUAGUUAUCUAGCACAACAGAAUUCGUCUGCUGAAGCCUUGAAAACUUUCGAUUAACUUAGAGAACGAAGUGCAGUGACGCUGAGACAUUUAAUUUAUAUCUGCUAUUAUAUUUAACAUUGUUAUUCGCCUUUUACUAUCUUCAAAAUUUACUUGUAAUUGUAUCGUAACUUCUCUCGGGUUAACAAUAUGAAUGAAGUUUGCUAUAAAGUUUAAAAUCAGUAAAAAAAUUUAAGUGGCGAAGUAGAACGCACUGGACGCUCAGCUACUGAUUUCUGAAUUCACUGCUGCUGACGCAAAACAAUGAGAUCGAUAUCAAUUAAGUCAAGUCGGGCCGUUGAUCGCUGGAAACCCCAUAAAAAGCAAUCUCUUUACAGGGUUACAUGUAUACCCGGUUUUUCCGAGAAUGCUUAACAGGAAACCUAUUGAACGAUUUUUUUGUCUAACUCACAAACUACUAUUUAUUUCUGAUCUAUGAAGGGCCAAUUGAAAUUUCUUCAUCCAAGGAUACAAUAGUUUCCUUUCUUCUUCAAGUGUAUACAUUUUAUAUCAUUCUUUUACAUUUCCAAUUUCUUGCUUUGAUGUUUUUACUGUAAAAUAUCAAAAAUCAAAUUAUUCGCUUGUGAACAAGAAUUAUUCUUUUGUCCCUUGAGUAAUAUAAAAAUGAUUGAACCAAUAAAAAAGCGAGGCAUUGGAAUCUCCGAGGCUUCGGUGACAUGCAAGGUGAACGCGAGUCCGUGUUAAUCCACUGGUUUCUGAGGAUUAUAUAUGCAGCUCGCGGACUCCACGGUCGUGAAUCCCUGUAGGCAUCGAAAAUGAAAAAAAAACUGGCUAGUCUGGACCAAGGUUAGAAGAUUGCGUUGAAUAAUAGCCACACAAGCUUGAUUCAGUGCCGUGCAAAAGUCGAGGAGAUCGCGAGGGGUGACGAGAUCUAUUUCUGUCGAAACAAGUUAGAAGUAGGAAGCAAGCGUGAGGAGAACGAAACGCCUAGUUGACAUCGCUACUAGGGUACAAAUUCAUGAGGCGUUUUAAUAGUUGAGCCAACAAGUCAAUGUUCCCCCAUUAUAAAAGUUCACUUUUUAAACUCAUGCAUUUUUAUUAAUUGUUUAUAGUUUAUGAAUUAUAAUUUGUUUCGUCUUGGAGGAAAUCUUAGCGAUACCGAACGUCAUGUUAUCUGUUUAUUUGUAAAGGUAUCGCGAUAAUUAAGCACUCUGUUGCGUUUCUCUUAUUACCAAUCCACGAUACUGUCUCUCGUACAUUCUCUCGAUAUACAUAUUUCUCGCUAUCUUUCUUAUUGUUUACGUCUCAAUAUAUCUGUAGAAGCAACAGGAGAGCGCUACGUCUUCAUAAACGAUAAGCCUGUUCUUGAAUACAGGAAGAAGUUAUCUUUUGCUGUUUUCCGCUAUCGAACCGGCUUAUCGGCAUAGGAAAGCCGUUGAUAUUUACCGAGUAACCGAUAAUUCAGUUACAUCUCACUUGGCUCGUUGUGCUCUGGACACGCGUGACUCACUGGCGUGACUCAAGGGACGGAAAUCUUGUUUGUCGAAAAAGCGCAGACCUUUUUCAACGCGUCUCUUCGAUGUUCGAUAUCUCCUCUUCCAACCGUUGUCCGCGUCCCUUCGAGGAAAGAAACUCGCAGACAAAGUACAGCCUGUUCAACAGAACUCUUAUCUUCCGAUAAAUCACUUCGCUUGAGACAAAUUAUACAGUACCCGCGAGUAGAUUAUUAAAGAUUUCUAAUCUUCCUUUUUAUAUUUUCAGAUAUCGUGUGGAGCGUUUAUACUUCAGAUUAUACUUGCUCUUAAUUUUCAAAUACGUAAACAAAUCCGAAUACCCAGAGUAGUGCGUACUGAAUAAGAACAUAUCUUUUGUAUUACCACAAUCUUAAUAAGCUUCAGUGUUUAAAGUUUUCGUCGAUGUUGCGAGACAAACUGUCACGAGAAUCCGUCGCGCGUGCUAGCUCGACACAUUUCAUGUAAUCAGGGUACAAACAGAAAUUUCUCCGACGAUUAGAUAAAACAAUGUGAUAAAGCACGAGUACUGCUUAGUACGGAAACAGAUUGUCAAUUACUUGCAUCUCCUAUCGAUACUCCUAAUUCAUUCGAUCGAACAGAAGAAAAGAAGAGGAGGAAGCAUAGAAACAAAAGUGGAAAAAACAGAAUCGAUAUCACUGGAGGGAAACUACGAUUAGGGCUAGAUACAAUAGUAUUCGUUUUCAGGAUCUACAGGAAAAUGGAACAUGUAGCGGACAUGGUGGAGCGUGAACGAGUUUUUGGUAGCUUCGAGUCUAAACAUUUCGUGCCCAAAGCCCCUUAUCAUUCUCCUGUCCGGUGUAGGAUUGUUAGACGACUGGACGGAGAACUGAUAAGGGCCCGAGGGUCACAGAAUCAUCGUGGGGCAUGUGAGACCAUUGUGGACGACAGCUGUGGACCUUCAUCAAUAUCAAGAAUUUCUUUCGAAUUUUCUGUAAUCUUUUGUGUGCACAAUAAAUAGUUUUGAAAUAUA